UUCAGAUCGUAUAAAUCUUUCGCCUUUUA
This 29-nucleotide non-coding RNA is filed under the name Callithrix jacchus (white-tufted-ear marmoset). The record is from RNAcentral. Lineage: Eukaryota; Metazoa; Chordata; Mammalia; Primates; Cebidae. RNAcentral also lists the same sequence under 4 other names.